UGGGGAAUAUUGGACAAUGGGCGCAAGCCUGAUCCAGCCAUGCCGCGUGAGUGAUGAAGGCCCUAGGGUUGUAAAGCUCUUUCACCGGUGAAUAUAAUGACGGUAACCGGAGAAUAAUCCCCGGCUAACUUCGUGCCAGCAGCCGCGGUAAUACGAAGGGGGCUAGCGUUGUUCGGAUUUACUGGGCGUAAAGCGCACGUAGGCGGACUUUUAAGUCAGGGGUGAAAUCCCGGGGCUCAACCCCGGAACUGCCUUUGAUACUGGAAGUCUUGAGUAUGGUAGAGGUGAGUGGAAUUCCGAGUGUAGAGGUGAAAUUCGUAGAUAUUCGGAGGAACAACAGUGGAGAAGGCGGCUCACUGGACCAUUACAGACGCUGAGGUGCGAAAGCGUGGGGAGCAAACAGG
This 404-nucleotide ribosomal RNA is filed under the name Verrucomicrobiota bacterium. Its description in RNAcentral is "Verrucomicrobia bacterium partial 16S ribosomal RNA". It matches the Rfam family "Bacterial small subunit ribosomal RNA", at positions 355 to 776 of the family's 1533-position model. The record is from RNAcentral. Lineage: Bacteria; Pseudomonadati; Verrucomicrobiota.